RNA transcript from Tympanuchus pallidicinctus (lesser prairie-chicken), 13944 nucleotides. It is a transcript of the gene named BRCA1 interacting helicase 1, with no coding region annotated. The record is from RefSeq and is a predicted model, not a curated record. The transcript is spliced from 26 exons. Lineage: Eukaryota; Metazoa; Chordata; Aves; Galliformes; Phasianidae.
CGCUCUUCCCCCGCCCUCAGCAGUAGAAUCGCCCGGUUCCACCCGCAGCUCCCGGCUGCUGCCGCCUUCUGCCCCGCUCGGUCCUUCAGGGAGUCCUUCCCACCCCUGUUCGUUGGCAGAGAUCGCAUAAACUCAGUUCCGAGCUGAUCGUUGGGGAGACCCCCGAGUGUCUUAGAGAAAAGCCCCUCGACUGUCGCGGUUGCGUUUUGGGAGGAGGGGCUGUGACCGCAGAAACCCGUCAGCGAUCCUCUGCUGGCGGGGCUUCUCUGUGCUGUCGGGAGCUGACGUUAAACCUGAAAUAAACAGGAGAAAGCAGCAAUGUCUUCUGACGUGUCACAAUAUACUAUUGGGGGAGUGAAGAUUUUGUUCCCUUGCAAGGCUUACCCUUCACAGCUUGCUAUGAUGAAUGCUAUCGUUAAGGGCUUAAAUAACAGGCAGCACUGCUUGUUGGAGAGCCCCACAGGAAGUGGCAAAAGCUUGGCAUUACUUUGUUCUGCAUUAUCAUGGCAGCAGGCUCUGUAUGAGAAAUCACUGCUGAAAUCAUCAUGUGAAAAGGAGGACAGAAAGGAGCCAGCAGCCUCCCCACCGUGUUGCUGUGUUUGUCAUUCCCUAUCCAAGAGCAGCGAGGAGGCUGCAGGAGCGAGUCAUGGUGCUGCGUGUUCCAGUAAUCAUGAAACAGGGGGCUCUGUAAAAACUGGAGGCCAACAAACAGACGCAGAAUGCAAGGAAAACAAUACCCUAGCUUCAAAAUUGUCUGCCAAAAAAAGGGCAUCUGUAUGUGGAAACGAGAGCGAUGACUUUCAAGUAGACAGGAAGAGGAUUCGUCCUUUAGAAACUGAGCAGCAGGUUAGAAAACGUCAUUGCUUUUCAAAAGAGGUGCAGCUGGUUGAUGCUGUAGAAGUUUAUAAUCAGAGAAAAAAUGGGGAGCUGGUUGUUCACUCUGAAAAAAGUGUAAAAAACACUUCUCCCAAAACGCUUUCCAUCCCUUGCACAGAGUGUUCCUGUUCCUCUGGAAAAGAAACUCGUAAAGAUGCUGGUAACACAAAGAAGAAAGCAAAUGGAGAUCAGACGUUCAUUCCCAAAAUAUUUUUUGGAACGCGCACGCACAAACAAAUUGCCCAGAUUAGCAGGGAGUUGCAGAGGACGGCGUAUUCCGGUGUCUCUAUGACGAUUCUGUCCAGCCGGGAUUACAGCUGUAUUCACCCGGUGGUGUCCAGUAGUAGCAGCAACAGGAAUGAACUGUGUGUAGAAUUACUGGAAGGAAAGCAUGGCAAGUCCUGUCUUUACUAUCAUGGUGUUCAUAAACUCACUGAACACUAUGCCCUGCACUCUGCACAUAACACAUACCAGGCUUGGGACAUUGAGGAUCUAGUGAGCCUGGGAAAGAAACUUCGUGCCUGCCCAUACUUUGCAGCCAGAGAACUCAUGGUGGGGGCAGAUAUUGUAUUUUGUCCUUAUAACUACCUCCUAGAUCCACAGAUAAGGGAGAGUAUGGAAAUUAACCUGAAAGGCCAGGUAGUCAUUUUGGAUGAAGCCCAUAAUAUUGAGGACAGUGCUCGGGAGGCAGUGAGCUACAGUGUUACAGAAAGUCAGCUGAAUGCUGCUCGAGAAGAGCUAGAUUUCAUGGUCAAUAACAACAUCAGACAGAAGGAUCAUGAGCACCUACGGGCUGUGUGCUACUCUUUGACAAACUGGCUACGGGCAAGCUCUAGUCAGCUGGUAGAAACAGGGUAUGAAACCUCCUGUAAGGUUUGGAGUGGAAAAGAAAUGCUCAACCAUUUUCACGAAAUGGGAAUAACCAAUAUUAGUUUUCCCAUUUUACAGAAACACCUUUCUGCUGUCUUGGAAAAAGAAGAAAAAAUAUCAAUGUUUGGUAAAGAGGAGCUUGUUGAGAUACCUAUCGUGAGCUCUGCCACUCAGAUUGUGCUGAAAGGGUUAUUCAUGGUUCUUCUGUAUCUUUUUAAAGAUAACAGCAGGUUUGCAGAUGAUUACAGAGUUGCUUUGCAACAAACUUACGCUUGGACAAAUGAAAACCAACCUGAUGUUUCAGAUACAAGUGCUUUCCUUGCAAAGACCAAACAUAGAAAGAAUUUGCGACAUAAAACUGCAGUUCACAUGCUUAAUUUUUGGUGCUUGAAUCCUGCUGUGGCUUUUUCAGACCUAAAUGAUGUCAGAACAAUUGUUCUGACCUCUGGUACGCUCUCUCCAAUGGAUUCAUUUUCUUCUGAACUUGGCGUGAAGUUUUCCAUUCAGCUGGAGGCCAGUCAUGUUGUCCGGAACUCACAGGUUUGGGUUGGCACCAUUGGAGCAGGGCCGAAUGGUCGGAAGCUGUGUGCCACGUUCCAGCAUACAGAGACCUUUGAGUUCCAAGAUGAGGUGGGAGCACUUCUACUUUCAGUGUGUCAAAGAGUUGGCCAAGGAAUUCUGUGUUUUUUGCCAUCCUAUAAGCUGUUGGACAAAUUGAAAGAUCGCUGGAUGCACACUGGCUUGUGGAGAAACCUGGAGCUUGUUAAAACAGUCAUUGCAGAGCCUCAAGGAGGAGCAAAAAGUGACUUCGAUGAACUGCUGAAAAUAUACUACGAUGCAAUAAAAUUUAAAGGAGAAAAAGAUGGAGCACUCCUAAUAGCUGUGUGCAGAGGAAAAGUUAGUGAAGGCUUGGAUUUCUGUGAUGAGAAUGCUCGAGCAGUUAUAACCAUAGGUAUUCCGUUCCCAAAUGUGAAAGACCUUCAGGUUGAAUUAAAGAGGAAGUAUAAUGAUCAGCAUAAAACUACAAGAGGCCUUUUAUCAGGGAGCCAGUGGUAUGAAAUCCAGGCUUACAGGGCUCUGAAUCAGGCCCUGGGAAGGUGUAUAAGGCAUAGGAGUGAUUGGGGUGCCCUUAUCUUAGUUGAUGACCGCUUCCGGAAUAACCCUAACAAGUACAUAACUGGAUUAUCUAAAUGGAUUCGUCAACAAGUCCAGCAUCAUGAAAAUUUUGGUAGUGCACUUGAAUCCUUACAUGCAUUUGCUGAAAGAAACCAGAAAGGCAUUGAUUUUUCAUCACAGGGUAGCAAUGAAUUUUCCCAUGUACCUUUAAAUUCAAAAGAGCUGUCAUCAGCUUCUCAACAGGAGGCAACUAUUCACCUGUCACCAGAUGUUCCUGUUAAAACUGAGGAGCAAAGUUUGGUCCCAGGAACUCAUUUAACUACAACCAUCGACUCAAUUAAUCCCGAACCAUCAAAUCAGCCAAGUAAUAUCACAGCAAUAAUGCAGCAAAGUGGCCAGAAAGUUGAUGUGGAGAGUCAUUCUCACAAUGCAACACAAAGAAGAAAACAUAUGGACUCCAAACCCAGAAGGCCUGCAACUAAAACAGAGAGAGAAAAAAAGAGCGAUCGGACUAAUUCUGAUUUUAUGAAAGAGCACUGCUGCUUUAAACCACUGACUUCAACACCUUUGCCUGUAGCCACGAACUGCAUGUCCACAGCAAGCAGCAAACAAAGAAAGAAUGUGAACAGUGCUAGUGAACUUAUUGGUGGUGUAAAUCAGUGCCAGUCAUCAUUCACUUUAGAACAUAAACAAAGUAUACCAGAGUCACAUUUGGAAACAACUGAUUUUUCAGUCAAAAAUACAGAGGCUCCAGUUGCUGAGGAGCAUCUUGAUGAGCAAAAGCUUCACACUGAGCCCAGUAGUGAGCUUCCUUCAGUAGGAGGGAAGCCUGAGCUUUCAGUGUUAGACGUGUCUGCAGAAGCUGAGGAUGAGGAUGAGAGCCUUUACUUCACUCCAGAGCUCUAUGAUGAUACAGAAUCUGAGGAACAGGAAAUGAGACCACUAGAUCCAGAUGAGAAUCAGAUUGAAUGUGGAAAACCCACAGUAGCUGAUGAUCUUUUUGUAAUCAAUACCUCAAAAACACUAAGUGAGCCAAAAGCAAUUACUAAUGAUGAUGUCAGAAACACAGGUUUACUUGGAACAAUGCUGAAUGAUAUCAGUAAGAAUAGUGCAGUUAAUAUUGAAAAGAUGACUAAUGGAAAAGAAGCAGAACAGGUAGAAUCUCAAGAGGUGGACACCAAAAAACGGAAAAUCAGUCUUUCCAGAUCAAGAAAUAAAGGAUUGAAAGUUCAGAGACAGUACAGAAGAGGAAAAUCUACUGUUAGGGCAAGAGGCAACACCUGUGAAAAAAAGAAGGAAAACCAACAACAGCCUUGCAAGAGAGGACUUUAUUGUAUUAUCUGCGGAGCAGAAAUACUACCAAAAGCAGAAGGCAUUUUGAGAAAAACUUGUUAUGGUGAUAUAGAGAUGAAAGUAAUCUUGAAACUCUUCAGAAGUACGCAUGUAAGAAGUAAGGAAUCCAGUAAUAACUGUACCUGUGAACUAGAUGUCACUUCAGAUGAUGAUAACAUGAUGUUGGUCAUCACAGAUGUUGCAAGUCUCAGUCAUCUUAAAGAAACUUUGAAGAUUUAUCAGAUGCCAGUGAAAAGCAAAGGCACGAAUGCCAGUUUAUCUUUAAAUGCGGUUUGGAAUGAGAAGGAAUAUUCUCUGACAAGUUACUUACAGUGCAGGAACUGCACAGUCCAGUCAAUGUCUCCGUGCCCUUUGAUAGGAGCUGAGGUUAUUCAUUUCAGCAAUAAAGCACAGUCAUGGGUCUGGCUGCUCCCAUCGUCUGUUCGUUAUUGCUUACUGCUACAGAACCCUCAAAAACGGAAAGCAGGCAAUUCAGAUUAUUCUUUAUCUUGAAAGAUUUUGCUGAUCUCUACCACAGAUUCAUCAGGACUAAUGAGACAGAUAAGUAAAGGAUUUUGUUAUUACAUGCUAACUCCAUAAAGAUACUCCGGGGUAAGCGGAGAGGUGGUACAAUCUUUCUUGUGAGUGGUGGGAAAGAGCUACCUGGUUACAAAUUCUGGCCCCACUGAAGUCAGCAGGGGUUCUGCCAUUUGCCUUCAACAAAGCAAAGGGUUUCACCAUGUGUUUAACAGGAAUAUUUUGCAGGAACUGUUGUCAGCAUGCUAGUAAAUAGACCAUUUUAAAAUUUGCCUUCUUUUUCACAUUUGAAUGUUUGUUCACCUCGCCUAUGCUUGAUGUAAUUUGAUACAAAAAAUUCCCCUCAAUUUCAUUUUAUUUCAGGUAGGUUUUGAAUUGGUUCAUUUUUUUACUUCUUGUGCUUUUAGAGACCCCACGUGGCAAUGUCUGGGCUAAAAACACAGUAGGGGAAUGUUCACAUAUUUUGUAUUGCUGGGAUUUAAACUGAAUUAAAGAAAAACAGAAAUGAAAACAUUAGCAUUUGUUUAUGUAAUUAGAAAAAAAUCCCAUAAAGCUGGGCCCGAGCUAGCCGAGGAUAUCUCUGUAAUGAACACAAACCUUUACCUUUUUGCAAGCACGCCGUAACUGCAGAGCUGCACAUAUCAUAUCUACCGUAUCAAUGACAUUUUGGAGUAUGUAAAAAAAGCCCACUCUAUUUGUCUUAGGAAAUAUCGAAAACUUUUAUAGGGAAUUUGGAAAAUAUUUUUUGGCCAGCAUGAAAGGUGAAAUCUUGCAGCACAGAGUACAGACAUGGGCACAGAGACUGAACAGACGGGCUGCUGUAAAACAACCAUUUAAUAAGGCAUUAAAAUGCCAUCGACUUGGACACAUAAAAAAAAAAAGCUAUGAAAACAAAUGCCUUUCAAAUAAUUAGGAUCUUAUGCUUGAGACCAGUGUUGAUCUCUAUGCAGAGAUUUUCCUGCUGAAAUCAGACCAGCCUAAGUCUGAUCGUCUAAGGAAGGAAUUAGCAGCGUAUAAAUCGGCUGCUGCUCGAGAUUUUUCUGUUUCUGCCAUACAUAACCAUUCAUUUAAAUGGCCACUUCAGACUUUCUAUCUCCUUCUUUCUGUUUCCUAGAGUAGUUUGAAACGCAUUUGACUUAGUACGCCAGGAUAAUUUUUUAAUUGAAUCUUGAAUUUUUAUCAAGAGUACGUGAAAGGGUUGAAUUACCAGCUCCUGCCACACUGCAUAAGUGAACCUGAGCCAAAUGCAGCCAGAAAUAGCAACAGAACCCAGUUCUGUUCUCCAAAACAUAGUGUGACUUUGCUUUCACUUGAAUUAAGGAACUUGGUGUUUAUAAUGCAUCGAAAUGAUAUAAAUCUGUCCUUCAACUCACCUGUAAUGUAUGCAGACACAAAAACAAGAAGUAAAGUUGACCAUUCAUGUCUGUGUAUUUACUCCUGGAUCACUGCUGUCAUGGUUGUCCUUGCCUGGAUACCUCACAGAAGAUGCUCUAGUUACACAGAGCAUGUUUAAAACAACAGCAUCCGUGACAGUGUAGAUAACAUUAUUAAAAAAAAAAAGUAAAAGCGAUGUCCGAGAGAUGAGCAUCAAAUUCUCAACUUUAAGCUGGAAUUUAAUAACAUUUCACAAAAGAAAUGUUUAAUGAAUAUUGCUUUUCACAUACAGUAAAGUUACUGUUUUGAUCUCCAUUUUGCUGUGCAUUAACAUCGAUAACCUUGGAUAAAUGAACGCACGGUCCUUCUGCAUUUUGUCUCGUUUCCUGUUCUGUCCUUAGCCUAAGGCACAGACUUUUAAACCUCUAAUUUUUCUUUCAGAUCCGUAAUUCCAAGUACUCUUAGAUUUUCUGUUUUUAACACAGGAUUUCACACAGAUGAGAACCCUGUGUGUAACUCCCAUAGCUAGGCAGAAUAGGAGAUCUUUCUCUUGAUAUUAUGAUUUCUUCUAUUAAUCGGUUUUAUAUGACUUUCUGCUAGCCUUGCUUUUAAAGGUGUGAAAACUUGCACUGCAGAGGUAUUUUAUAGAUUGCAACCAUAAUUUCUGAAUAAAAUUCUAAAUAACUGGUCUGGUUAUAAAGCUUUGGGCACAAUUUUUAGGUUCCUGGGAACUGCUGUUAAACCUCUGUUGCCAAUUGGCUAGCAGUACAUCCCAAUUAGUGACCCCUCUAUCUAGCAGUAGCUGUAUGUGAGUGAUUUUUUAUUUUUUUUUAAGUCAGUCGUAAAUGAUUAGUCCAAAAGAGUAGCAUAAAACUUCGAGCGAGUCCCCUGCAGGAGUCGGCUGGAGGAAAUUAAAGGAUCAACAACACAAGGGAAGCACUGAGGCAGGAUUGUUCCAGGCUGCAGCCACAGGCUUUCACGUGCACUCAGGAAAUUGACUUCAUCAAAAGCUGAGGAUGCAGGCGUGAGGAUGAGGAGGAUAAUACAGGUGAUGAUUCUAAAUCAUGGCUCAAUAUCACAGCGUUUUCCAAGGGAGAGGUUCCGUCCCGCCCUGAAGAAAGCAGGUUUUCUAUAUAAAAAUAGUCUCCUCCUUAUGAAUUAAUAAAAGUUGGGCACAAAUCUGAGCUAUAAAUCUAAUAUGACUUAAUAAAUAAUGAAGACUCAGUUUCCCCAAAACAAUAUCAGUUGGAUGUGGGGUUUUUUUGCAAAAGAAAAACAUGACUCCUUAUAAGCUCCACUGCUCAGUACAGAGCGUUAUUGCCCUGUGCACGUUUGUUUGUGAGAGCUGUAAAACAAAGGACUUCAGAGUGCUUCAGACUUACAGGCAGGCAAGGAGUUUUCUUUAAUGCUUCUAAGCAAAUUCUUGCUGCAGAAAUUUGGAUAUUCUGGGUCCAUGAUGAAGCUGAAACCUUCCUAGUGUAGUUGGAAAGAGUUGCAAGAGGGGAAAUGCAUAAAUCUACAUCUGGAGCCAAGUAUGCUGGGAAGGCGUAAAGAGAUGGGGAAGCAGGAGUGCCAGAACAGGGCUGAGAGCAUGAAAUUCUGCAGGGAAAAGUGGGAGAAAGAAAGAGGAAUGUCCCAGGAAUGAAGCUCUUAUAAUGUUCAAAUCUUUCCUCGGAAGUAAAAGUGUGGAAGGCUAUAAUCCAAAUAAGGAAAUUAGAACAAAAAUUAACAAUAUUCAGCUAUUCAGAUGUCAAAAGAAACAGCAGAGUUAUUGGUGUUAGAGGUUAUUGCCAGGAGGGAAAAACUCAGCAUGCUUUGGGUAAUUAAGCUUCAUUGGAGAGCAUGGAUCCCUUCUCCAGGUAAGAAAUGCUUUUAUAACACGGCAUCUUUUGCUAUUGUAAUUAAACACCACGGACUAUUCUGCAUAUGAAGUCUUAAACGCUUUAGUCCUUUAUCAUGGGAUUUUACUGGCCAGGCAUGUGUGUUCUUAUGGCAAAAAGCAUUGGCUGCUAUAAAAAAAGAAACCCAAACAUUUCUUUUUAUGACUUGACUUGCUGUAUUUUUAUAUAUAUUGAGCCAAAUCCAUCCCUUGUGGAGCUGAGUUGAAGCCAAUAAGGAUAGAUUUGGCCCAUGUCUAUAUGAGAAAGGUGGUGACAAUUAAAAUAUAUUGUUUAAUAAUGAGAGCUAUGGUAGUGAAGUGUCUUUGUGUCUAUGAAAUUAUACACCACGACACCACACUGCCAGUAGAGAGUGGGGCUAGCAAAACAAGUAAGAGCAGUUUCUGAUGGAAGGGCAAAAGCGCUCUAACUUUUAUUAUUAUGAUUAAAUAUCACAAAGGCAAGACUAAUUUAGGUAACAUCUCCAGAAGUCUCAUUUAUAGUGUAGUAUUUUGCCACAGUGUAUUUUAAAAUAUUUCUUGCAUGUCAUUAUAUGUAGCUAGCAAGGGUAGUAUGACUGGCUGCCAUUAGCAGUAAGUAAAAGAAUGGUUCUUAUUUCAUUUAUAUUUUAGUGAUUUUCAGUAAUGCUGCAAAAAGGAAUGCAUCCUAUGAAAUGAAAUGUGCAGACAGCCAUUAUUAUCACUUUAUAUUGGUAGUUCCCAGCGGUUCCUCUGUGUGAGGCGUUGCACCAGCACAUGAAAUCCACUGCUGAUACCCUGAAGAUCUUCAGAUCUUGCCUAUUUAGGCAGUGAGAUAUGCAAAGCUUUUUGCACAGACAACCAGGUCAUCUGUACAAAACCAGAACAAAUGAGUUUUGUUUGGCUCCUUGACAUGGUGGGUUGCAGGAAGCAAAUCUUCUCUUGUAUCCCUGUUGGUAAGUUGUAACAACUUUUAUAGCCAAAGCCCUACUCAACUGCCUACUGACUUGUAUCCCUUUACUGAAGAUAUUUGGGUAAUGGAUACUCACAGCCAGUAAUCACAGACUUAAACCCAAGCUCUUCAAGGGGGUUGCCAGAAAGCUGGGCUCAACCAUGCAGCUCUGUAAAGAAGCUGAGCACUUAGAGAACACUGGCCAGCAGCAAUGGAGCCCAGGAGCAAUGGCCGAAGGCAAUCAAUCUGUUGCCCUGCUGAGCUAAUGGGCUCAAGCUGAAAAGGUACCUCUUAUAUGAAAAUAAUGGGACUUGGGAAGCCUUUCACCCUCAAAAACAGAGGAAAAGAAAAUGCGCAGCAGAAGUUCUUUUUUGCUGUAAUUAUUACUCAUUCUGAAUCUCUAUCAUAGAAAUCUGGCCUUUGGCACUGGAUUAAGAUAAUAUUUUAUUAGAAGAAAGCAUGAUUCAUCAAAUUGAUGCGUUGCAGUAUCUGUGGAAAGGAAAACUGGGAAAGACACAAAAGAAGCUGGGCUGUGGAAAACCACUGCCAAACAGAGAGUCUCAGACUGCACUAAGAAACAACAAAAAAGAAAAUAUUUCCAAAGAAACAUCUGAGCACAGCAUUACAGCCAAGUGAAGAAUUAUUACUGCAUUAGGCUUUCAGAGUGGGGCAUGCAAUGUAUGUGGUAGGAGAAUACCCUGUCAUUUUGAAAUUAAAGAAAAGUGCAUGUGUUCCACAUCAAAACUCAGUUCCUCAGAAGGCUUGUUUGCAUGCUGCCAGUUGCUUCUGCUCUUUGUCAAGAAGAAUAUUUUUAUUUUCUAGUUACCAUUUUCUCCUUCUCUCUCUCCUCCCCAUCAUUUUCAAGUUCACCAUUUCCUUGUGUUUAUUUCCUUGCUGUUGACUUCCUGCUUCCAUUCUUUUCUGUCUUGAGUAUGAAUAUUGAUUUUCAGGCGAUCUGAUUAAGUGCUUUGCAGAGGUGAGUAAAGAUUAUUUUCAUUUUGUGCAUGACAGACACAAAGCAAAAAUUAAGUAGUUUACUAAUGGCUGUAAGCUGAAUCAUUGCUGAGUAUAUUAGGACUGGAAAUCUUGAACUUCACUGGAAUUCUUAGACAACCAUUUAAAGCUAUUUUUGAAAUCUUUUGAGUUAAUUGCGCAGCUUGCAGGACCAGCUCUUCCUUGUGCACCAUCUUGGGAACAGGAAACACAGCAUGCACCACACGUUCCUCCAUCAGUGCCAUCCUGUAGCCAACCCUGCUUCUUCCCACCUGUGUCACACUGGGGCAAAUGGUCAGACGAUCCACAGGGGCGCUCACUUGCCUCUCUCUAUAUGUGCAGUCUUUGUUGAAGGCUGAGAUUUGCCCUUUUGCUUUUCCAUGCACACCCAUGCAGUCUGCUUGCAUUAACACCUCCCACCUUUGAAGUGCUUAGGCAACAUUUACACAGAGAGUUAAACCCCAUCUCUCCUUGCAUGUUCCGAAUGAAGAAAUGUAGAAAUACUAAGGGACAUCCAUUCAAAAGCCUGUGUGACAGCCAUGUGCUCACUUCUAGCACUGUGUAAACGCAGUCUUUUUCUGUGACGCUCGACAGAAAUCCCAGUGGAAGUUUUUCCUGCCUCUAACCUGUCUACUUUGUUUCGUAAUGAUAAAUGAUGGGAAAGCCUGAGGGAGGGGGGAACUAUCUAAGCAUUCAACUGAUUGUGUCUGUAGAAGGAUGGGAAGGGAGAAUGUUGAUUCAUUUAAAACAGAACUUUAAUAUGGCUAAAAUCUUUGAUAUUUUUCUCAUUUUGAUCAUUUUUUGCAUUCUUGUAAGUAAGCUUAAGGCUAAAUCAUUACCCAAAGAUGUCUCAUCGGAUAAGACAAUGUGGUUACUUUUAUUCUUCACUUUAAAUUUAAUUGAUUACCUUUCCCACUUCCAGUUUGUCCUGCACACAGUCGCUUGGUAGCAGUCACCUUUGCUUUCAGUCAAGGUAUCCAUUGCGUGCAUGCUGACUGUUUCCCAUUACCUCUGCAGCACAAAGCAAGUUCAUCACCUUUCCAGGAUGUCUUGUGAUUGAUUCCUCAUGUCUGGGGAAAUAUGCUCUAAAGUUUCAGGCUAAAAUGAGUGCUUGGAUUUAGUGUGGAUAAUCAGUGGUUUAAGACUUAUUCUUCUUAUGAACUAUUCAUCUAUUUAUGAGAUACACAACUAAUAUUAAAUAUAAUAUAAUAUGUUAAAUUUAAAAUGUUAUUGUUCCCUCAGUAGCUCUCAGACGCACUGGGCAUGACUAAACCACGAUUUGCAGAGUGUGUCUGCGUCAUCCAUCAAACACAACUCCUCUCUGCCUCAGACCUAACCUGUGCGCAGCAAAGCCAAGGCUGAAAGCCUUGAAAAGAAGAUCAGAGGCCUGGUCUUGCCAUGCUGAAAUCUAUAAAAGUUUUCCUACUGACUUCAACAGAAACAGGACUAAGCCUUAUGAUUCUGGCAGGAAAAUCUGAGAAUAUUCCUUUACAGCUCUCUACUGAAUGUUGAACUCCAAAAUACAUUGUUGUCAGCCUUAUGUAAGACAGAGACUGUUAAGGAAAGACAGUAGUUUUGCACAUACUGUUCCCUGCACAUGUUGUUCUUCAGUAAAUAUUUAUCAAAGGAUGCGUCCAUUCCUGCUGGCAGCGUCCGAGGCAUUGGACAAAUUUGGCCUGAUUUCCUGCUGUCAGUGCAAACCUCCCAACUAGAAGCUGAAUUUAUCAAGUUUCGUCUUUCAAAACUGUUAAAAUCAUUCUUAUCCAAGUAGAUAGUGCUGACAAAAAUGGUCAUUCGAUGAAAUACUCUUUAAGAAAAGGCACGUCCUCCAGCUUGUAAGUACAGCCCCACUGAAAAUAUUCAUCAAAACUGUAACAAAGCACGGCUGAAGGCCAAAAAUUUGUAUUUGCUGAAAACUAAGGAAAACGGCAACAGAAAGAAAACCAGAUGAAAGUUUGUUGGCACUUGCAGGAUACUUGUUCAGGCCUCUUACCCUCUACUAUUUGUCUGUGGAACUAGACUCUUUUGACCUGUUCUAGCUAUUCCUCACAUGUUCCUUUCAGUGUGUUUUACUUUUCUUUUGCUUGAACAAGUUUAUAAUUAACAUAAAAUAAGCCUGAUUUUAAUUGAGUUAGCAUUAUCAGCACUUUGCACUAAUUUAUAUACCCUUUCAUUUCCUCUUUUAAGCUCUUUUUAGGUCAGACUUAGGCUUGGGGCUGUGCUUUGGUGCACACUGUGCAAAGGAUGUGGUGGCUGAGCAGAAAGGGCUUGGAUCCCAAAGCCUCAGGGCUUACUACCACCAGAUGCCUGAGCUGAAAUCUCUCUUUUGGAGUGCAGUUCUUCUGGAAGAGAACCUGAGGAGCUGCAGCUGCGCCUUCUCUACCUAUGCCUGAGUGAAGUCCAAACUCACUGCUGGCACCAGUGCUGCUGGACUCGGUGGAACUAAUCUUGCUCAUGCCAGUAUUAAAUUUGGACAUCUACCUUAAAGAAAAACAGCCUUUGAGGUAUGGAUUAGAAUACAUCAAUGGAAAACAGAACUCGUGUGUAGCCAAGUUUUCCUCACUUGCUAAUUUUUGCUUUAAUCUGAUUUGAACUGGACCGCGUUUUUCUGGACUUAGGCUGCUACUCGCUGUUAUGAUGCAGCCACCAGGUCAGAGCUGGAGCUGGAAAAGCCUUCGUGCACGUGAAGUUCUCUGCAUUCUUGAGAAGUGAAAUCUGUAGUAAGUAGAGCCUGGGCACAGUGAGCAUAUUUGAUUGAUUUUAGUGCUGUACAGGUUGCUUCUUUUUAAUGAUGCCUUCAGUUUACUGUUUCUGGUUUGUAAAGCAAAUAGACAAACAACCAACCAGAUGGGAAAUGCAGACCUGCCUUGGGGCUUGGGUUCCGCAUCUGGUCCCACCUGCGCUUUGCCCAUGAGCUCUCUCUGGGUUCGGAUUCAAAAACCGGGUUAGGCAUUUUGCAAUGAGAAGAGCAAGACGAAAACCACCACCCUUCCAUUCCUUAAUGCAGCCAAAGCAUGCCCCAGGGGUGUGCUGGCUGAGGAUCUCUGCUCAGUUCAGCUGUGGUUUGUAAGCAGCAUGCUGUUUAAUGCUAUCUAAAUGUUUUUAUAAAGGUCAAGUAGGAGUGGGAUCCUCCUAAUUUAACUUUAGCCAUUUAGAAAUGAGAAAUCUAGUCUGCCUGAGCUAGAUUCCUCUGCGAGUGGAAAAUAUCAGCACUGCAGAAUGAUUCAUCCCAUUUUAAUCUGCCCAGUCUCUCUCCAUUGACUAUAAAAGGGGCCUGGAUGACCAGAUUAGCAUAUACCCAAAUUUUAGACACAUAUGCGCUCACUCAGCAUUUUACAAUCAGCCCUGCAGUGGCCAUACCAGGUACUAUUUUCAUAGCUCACAGUGUGCCACAGGGCUGCACGCAGUGCCUGCACAGCUCCCGUGGCUCCUGGAGCAAUGAAUCUUGGCUGUGAGCAUUGCUGCCUGUGUCCUCAGCCUCAGUCUUAAAACCUGGAUUGCUUACAGGUUCAGGGCUCAUCUGUACUGCCUUGACAGAAAGCUGCUGGGCCAAUUCUUGUAGGAGCUGCUUCCAAAACUGCCUUAGAUGCAUAAAUAUUGUACUGAGCGACAUAAAGUUUAAAAAAAAAAAAAAAAGUUAAAAAAAGAAGCAGUGACUACUUCUUGAAAAGGGCAUUAUUAUUAUUGGCCAUAGUUGUGAAACAGGUAAAAUAUCCCAAAAAGAGUCAAGUGCACAUCUGGAUAAAGUGUGGGAUUGGUGUAAUUGGACAGCAGAAGGGAGAAGACAGAGCAGGCAUCCAGUAAUUCACCACGGAACAGCUUUAUGCUUGUUAUUGAAAUGCAGCCAGAGACAGUUAAUAGUAGUAAAAUGACUUUAUGUUCUGAUAUGUAAAAUAAAAUGUCCAUGCUAUGUAACAAACAGUUGAAAAUUCCACACCACCUGUAUCUAUCGUGGUUUCUAAUAAAAUUUUAUCUGUAGUAUAUAUGGUUUUUAUCUAACCAAUCCUUAGUUUUUACAUCGAAGGUGUGUAAUUAAAAA